UGUAAAUCCUGUCAAACCUUAUUAAACGUGCAACGCAUGUGUCACAAAAAUAAUCCACUUAAAAUUCCCAUGACAUAAGCAAAUAAUUCCCUCUCAUAAAUACAUACACAGUACAUUUGAUAAGAACUACAAACUAGAGAGAAACCGAGUAAAUCCUUUCAUCACUUCUCAGAGUAAACAACAUAUUUGAUGCUUUCACACAGAACCAACAAGAUGGGAAACCCUUUUUUACAUGAAUUCAAGAGGCAAGCUUCUUUCUUCUUGAAGGAGAAGAUCAAGACUGCUCGCUUGGCACUAACAGAUGUUACACCCGCAGAACUGUAAGUUUGCAUUUUUACAUCAAUAAUUCAAAACCGAACAAGUUCUUACCUUCUAUUCAUUUUAAAGAUUGACAGAAGAAGCUACAAAUGGAGAAUUUCGGGCACCAGAUACACGUACUAUGUGUGUAAUUUCAAGAGCUGCCUUUGAAGUUGAUGAUUAUUGGAGAAUUGUUGACAUUCUACAUAACAGGUUUCUUUUAUUUGGAUCUGGUUUAGCUAUUUGAACCAACAUAUAUAGCUGUGACCUGAAUUAAAGAUUUAAUCUUCUGUUUCUGUUGCCUUUUCAGGUUGACGAAGUUCGAAAGAAAAACUUGGCGGGUUACCUACAAGACUCUACUUCUAUUAGAACACCUUCUAACCCAUGGUCCUUUAAGAGUUGCUGAAGAAUUUCAGAGAGAUAAAGAAGUCAUUAAGAAUUUGGAAAGCUUUCAAUUUGUUGACGAGAAAGGGUUGGUUUAGGACAUAUGAGCAUAUCUUCCUUGGUUGUGCCAUUCAAAUUUUUAUUGUUAAGAGUAUGUAUCUUUAAUUAAUUAAUCAUCUGGUUUCAAAUGCAGAUUCAACUGGGGCUUGUGUGUUAGAAACUUAUCAGCAAGAAUACUGAAGUUGCUGGAAAAUGAGCAAUUUCAGAUAGAAGAAAGGGCAAGAGUUCGUAAGUUAACACGAGGGAUUCAAGGGUAUGGUAGCUUCCCCCAUCGAGCCCUUUCACCUGAUGAGAAUUUCAAAGACUUGGGCUUUCGGAAAUGCAAAAGGUCUAAUUCUAACUAUAGUGAUCAAAUCAAUAAAGAAUACGAGUUCUUGGCCUCAGAUGACUACUUCUUGAUGGAGGAAAGGAUCCACAAACCAGAAAAAAUCUAUGGAGAUGUCAGCCCAGGACUUGAUGACAGUGGGAAAAUAAAAGAGGAAUAUGCAAUGGAAUUAGAUCAUCCAUUCUGCUACAGUGAUCAUCACACUUCGGAGUCUCUUUUUUCUGCUCUAGAAUGAAGUUCCUUAAUUUUUUAGGGGGAAACCACAAUUUAUUACCCUAUACUUUGGCCUUUUUGGCAUCGAAGGUGACACGGUGCACAAAUCUAUGCCAGACCCAAAUACUUGUGUUUUCUUAUUUCUACGAGCAUUCGUAAUUCUAAUAAGAUUCUUUAUUUUACUAGAUAAAUUUUAUUUAUAUUUCUUAAUAUAUUUAGAAUUAUAAAAUACAACUUUUAUUUAAUUUAGGUAUUUUAAAUAUGUUUUCUAUUUAAAUUAAGUCUCUUUAAUUCAUUUCUAUCUAGAUUAGGAUUUAAAACUCUAUAAAUACCCAUUAUAUUUCAAUCAUGUACAAGUUUCAAGAUUUAUUUAAUAAAGUAUUUUUCUUCAUAAAGCUAUAUUUGUUUUGUUUUAUAUUUAGAUUAUGGAUUGAAUCAUGUAUUUCUUAAGAUCUUGGAUUAGAUCUUAUUUAUUUUCAAGAGUUUGAUCGUAUAUCGAUUUUUUUUAGCGCUACACGUUACGUCAAGUAGUAUCAGAGAAGGGAUUUCAACCUCAUUACGAUGGCCAAUGCUAGUAGUGGUGGUGACAAUCAAUCUUGUGACGGUAAUCAAGGGUUACUGCCUGUUUGGAGAGCAAUCGAAGAAUAGCUAAAUAAUAUGGAACAAAUUAGAACAAAUUCGGGAUGCCAAUUUCAGGAGCUUCAAAAGCAAUUGCGUACCAUGUUGAAUGUUGGUGGAAAUAGGAAUCAAGAACCUAUUGAAGCCAGUGGAGUUAAGCCCAGUAGAGCCAUGGUUUCAAAUCAUAAUGUAACGGUAACAGCUUGGCACUACGCAAAAUUUUUUGAAAAAUUUGCAAAGCUUAUGAAAUGAGUAGAUAUUUAAAGAUAUAAUAUACAGCCAAUUCCAAAUAAUAAGCAUAAAUACUUUAAAUAAAGAUAUUAAAUUCAUCAUUCUUGGACAACAUUAGCAUUAAUCAUUUUAAAACUAAAAUAACUACGUAGAUGGUAAAGAACUAAACUUGUUACCACCAAAAUGAGUGUCUAAGAAGUUCUUUGAUAUUAUUUUCCAAUUACUUGUGUAUUUUACUAAAAUUAAUUUCGAAAAUAGUUCAAAUAUGG
RNAcentral lists this unclassified non-coding RNA (2397 nucleotides) under Hevea brasiliensis (rubber tree). Lineage: Eukaryota; Viridiplantae; Streptophyta; Magnoliopsida; Malpighiales; Euphorbiaceae. The record is from RNAcentral.